AGUCUCCUGGAACGGAGCGUCAUAGAGGGUGAGAAUCCCGUCUCUGACACGGAGCCCAGUGCUUUGUGAAGCGCUCUCGACGAGUCGAGUUGUUUGGGAAUGCAGCUCAAAUUGGGUGGUAAAUUCCAUCUAAAGCUAAAUACAGGCGAGAGACCGAUAGCGAACAAGUNCCGUGAGGGAAAGAUGAAAAGAACUUUGGAAAGAGAGUUAAACAGUACGUGAAAUUGCUGAAAGGGAAACGCUUGAAGUCAGUCACGUCUGCUUGGGAUCAGCCUUGCUCUUUNGCUUGGUGUAUUCUCUUGCUGACGGGUCAGCAUCAAUUUUGGGCGCCGGAUAAAGGCAGAGGGAAUGUGGCACCUUUCGGGGUGUGUUAUAGCCCUUGGUUGUAUACGGUGGCUGGGAUUGAGGAACUCAGCACGACCUUCGGGUUUGGGGCUUCGGCCUACAAAUGUGCUUAGGAUGCUGGCAUAAUGGCUUUAAUCGACCCGUCUUGAAACACGGACCAAGGAGUCUAACAUGCCCGCAAGUAUUUGGGUGUUUAAAACCCUUAUGCGAAAUGAAAGUGAAAGUUGGGAUCCCUGUCGUGGGGAGCACCGACGCCCGGACCUGAACUUUUGUGACGGCUCUGCGGUAGAGCGUGUAUGUUGGGACCCGAAAGAUGGUGAACUAUGCCUGAAUA
This 679-nucleotide ribosomal RNA is filed under the name Sedecula pulvinata. RNAcentral's name for it is "eukaryotic LSU rRNA". It matches the Rfam family "Eukaryotic large subunit ribosomal RNA", at positions 184 to 843 of the family's 3401-position model. The record is from RNAcentral. Lineage: Eukaryota; Fungi; Basidiomycota; Agaricomycetes; Agaricales.